RNAcentral lists this long non-coding RNA (236 nucleotides) under Lathyrus oleraceus (garden pea). RNAcentral describes it as "Pisum sativum (pea) long non-coding RNA (PSAT_LNC036016)". Lineage: Eukaryota; Viridiplantae; Streptophyta; Magnoliopsida; Fabales; Fabaceae. The record is from RNAcentral.
GGGAAGUGACUUCUGGUUCAGGUUCAGGUUCAGGUUCAGGAUGUGAUGGCUGUUGAGAGGCCAGAGCACGGGCUUGGAGCUGAGCCAAAGCGGGGGAUUGAGGGUCAUAUGGUUCGGUAUCAGAGGAGAGUUUGUAGUAAGGUGGGGAUUAAGGAGAUGGUUAUGAUGAUGGUGAGGUGGUUUCAUUCAUGAUUUCUGCUUCUGAAACUGGUAACGUUGUGGUGGCGAGGUUGAAU